GCGAUCGUAGCUCAGUUGGUAGAGCACCGGGUUGUGAUCCUGGAUGUCGCGGGUUCGAGUCCCGUCGGUCGCC
RNAcentral lists this transfer RNA (73 nucleotides) under Phycisphaerae bacterium. Its description in RNAcentral is "tRNA-His". It matches the Rfam family "tRNA". From Rfam's summary of the family: Transfer RNA (tRNA) molecules are approximately 80 nucleotides in length. Their secondary structure includes four short double-helical elements and three loops (D, anti-codon, and T loops). Lineage: Bacteria; Pseudomonadati; Planctomycetota; Phycisphaerae. The record is from RNAcentral.